This 302-nucleotide unclassified non-coding RNA is filed under the name Hevea brasiliensis (rubber tree). The record is from RNAcentral. Lineage: Eukaryota; Viridiplantae; Streptophyta; Magnoliopsida; Malpighiales; Euphorbiaceae.
GGAGAUAAAAAGAUUAUAAGAGAAGCAUAGAUUUCAUUUGCCCAGCAGGACCAAAAAAAGAAGGAGGAAGAAAACGCAAAUAAAUAAAAGGAAGAAGAAUCGUGAACAUCCUAAUGAUCAUUCCUGUAUAUAUUUAAAAAUAACAGAAAAAUCCAGCAGUUGAUGGAUGAUGUUACAAUCUCUCCUUGAUAUACUUUUUGCAAAAGAAGAAAAGAAGGAGAUUUGAAAGGCUCUAGUGCAGUGUAAAAGAAUAGAAUUCCCCAGGAAGAAAAAGAUGAAAACAAGAAAGAGGUGUGGGAGGG